AUACGGAGGGGGUUAGCGUUGUUCGGAAUUACUGGGCGUAAAGCGCGCGUAGGCGGAUUGGUCAGUUAGGGGUGAAAUCCCAGGGCUUAACCCUGGAACUGCCUCUAAUACUGCCAGUCUUGAGUUCGGGAGAGGUGAGUGGAAUUCCUAGUGUAGAGGUGAAGUUCGUAGAUAUUAGGAAGAACACCAGUGGCGAAGGCGGCUCACUGGCCCGAUACUGACGCUGUGGCGCGAAAGCGUGGGGAGCAAACAGGAUUAGAAACCCCAGUAGUCC
RNAcentral lists this ribosomal RNA (274 nucleotides) under uncultured bacterium. RNAcentral's name for it is "partial 16S ribosomal RNA". It matches the Rfam family "Bacterial small subunit ribosomal RNA", at positions 523 to 796 of the family's 1533-position model. The record is from RNAcentral.